Molecule: long non-coding RNA, 521 nt
Organism: Solanum dulcamara
Lineage: Eukaryota; Viridiplantae; Streptophyta; Magnoliopsida; Solanales; Solanaceae
Exons: 2
Source: RefSeq, a predicted model, not a curated record
AGCUAGAUAUUUUCUUUCUCAACUUGUAUAAGUACGACACUAAUUCAGCUUUUCUCAUCCAUUCAGAAAUUAAGAGAAUGUUACUCUCGAUUAAUCUCUCCUUCUGUUGAGCUUGUUAUCUUCCAGAGUUCAUCAUUAAUGGUGGAUCUCUUAUUCAUUUAUGACUCCUGGCCAAGCUUUAAUAUGGUAUCAGAGCAAGGAUCAACAUCUAUGUCUUUCGCAGUAACUGAAUUCAAUUUUCAGCUUGAGGCCCCUGCACUGAAAAGGCCUUUGAAAAUUGAUAGGGUGCAUGAUGGAUUAUAUCUUCUCUGCCCAAAGUUGGUACAAAAGAACUAGCAUACAAUGUCAACCAAGAAUUCUGCUACUUGUCUUUCCAUUCAUAAAAAUGAUAGGAUGCAUUGUUAAUGUAUUUUCAAUUCUUGUUUGUCCCAAUCACAUUUCUAUUUGUCCCAUCCCACUGUAUUGAAUAAUUUUUCUGGCAAUAAAGACAAUGCAGUUAAUGUUGAUGUUAGUAUUGUAUA